RNAcentral lists this ribosomal RNA (504 nucleotides) under uncultured bacterium. Its description in RNAcentral is "partial 16S ribosomal RNA". It matches the Rfam family "Bacterial small subunit ribosomal RNA", at positions 30 to 523 of the family's 1533-position model. The record is from RNAcentral.
AUUGAACGCUGGCGGCACGCUUAACACAUGCAAGUCGAGCGGUAACAUGGGUAGUAGCAAUACUAUCUGAUGACGAGCGGCGGACGGGUGAGUAACACGUAGGAACUUGCGCAGGAGAGGGGGACAAUCAAGGGAAACUUUGGCUAAUACCGCAUAUCCACGAGAGAGGAAAGCUGCCAGCAAUGGUGGCGGUAUUGGAGAUGCCUGCGUCCGAUUAGCUAGUUGGUGAGGUAAUAGCUUACCAAGGCGAGGAUCGGUAACUGGUCUGAGAGGACGACCAUUCACACUGGGACUGAGACACGGCCCAGACUCCUACGGGAGGCAGCAGUGGGGAAUCUUGGACAAUGGGGGCAACCCUUAUCCAGCGAUGCCGCGUGAGUGAAGAAGGCCUUCGGGUCGUAAAGCUCUUUAGGCUGGGAAGAAGGUUAGUAGUUUAAGAGAUAACUAGCUUGACUGUACCAGCAGAAUAAGCACCGGCAAACUCUGUGCCAGCAGCCGCGGUAA